RNAcentral lists this ribosomal RNA (393 nucleotides) under uncultured fungus. Its description in RNAcentral is "eukaryotic LSU rRNA". The stretch from base 1 to 113 matches the Rfam family "5.8S ribosomal RNA", at positions 42 to 154 of the family's 154-position model. Lineage: Eukaryota; Fungi. The record is from RNAcentral.
AACGCAGCGAAGGGCGAUAAGUAAUGUGAAUUGCAGAAUUCAGUGAAUCAUCGAAUCUUUGAACGCACCUUGCGCUCCCUGGUAUUCCGGGGAGCACGCCUGUUCGAGUGUCACGAAAUUUCUCAAGCUAGGAUGGCUUUUUGUCUGUCCUUAGCCUUGGUUGUUGGGCUUUGCCGUGUCCUUCAUUGGGACGGCUGGCCUUAAAAGCAUUAGCUGAUCCUCGUGUGGCACUGGUUCUACUCAGCGUGAUAACAGUCUGAUCGCUGAGGACAUCUUUUGGGAUGGCCAGUCCUCAUUUGGGUUGCUUCUAAACUUGGUUUCGCGGAUUGUUCAAUCUGCGUUCCACUUUUCAGCUUUGACCUCGAAUCAGGUGGGACUACCCGCUGAACUUAA